AGAAGAAAUCGGAGAGGACGGAGAAGA
Molecule: small RNA, 27 nt
Filed under: Arabidopsis thaliana (thale cress)
Lineage: Eukaryota; Viridiplantae; Streptophyta; Magnoliopsida; Brassicales; Brassicaceae
Description: ATSL242570
Source: RNAcentral